ACGAACGCUGGCGGCGUGCUUAACACCUGCCAGUCGCACGGAAAGGCCCUGCUUUUGUGGGGUGCUCGAGUGGCGAACGGGUGAGUAACACGUGAGUAACCUGCCCUUGACUUUGGGAUAACUUCAGGAAACUGGGGCUAAUACCGGAUAGGAGCUCCUGCUGCAUGGUGGGGGUUGGAAAGUUUCGGCGGUUGGGGAUGGACUCGCGGCUUAUCAGCUUGUUGGUGGGGUAGUGGCUUACCAAGGCUUUGACGGGUAGCCGGCCUGAGAGGGUGAUCGGCCACAUUGGGACUGAGAUACGGCCCAGACUCCUACGGGAGGCAGCAGUGGGGAAUAUUGCACAAUGGGCGGAAGCCUGAUGCAGCAACGCCGCGUGCGGGAUGACGGCCUUCGGGUUGUAAACCGCUUUCGCCUGUGACGAAGCGUGAGUGACGGUAAUGGGUAAAGAAGCACCGGCUAACUACGUG
Molecule: ribosomal RNA, 467 nt
Filed under: uncultured bacterium
Lineage: Bacteria
Description: partial 16S ribosomal RNA
Rfam family: Bacterial small subunit ribosomal RNA
Source: RNAcentral